CCUACGGGUGGCAGCAGUGGGGAAUAUUGGACAAUGGGCGAAAGCCUGAUCCAGCCAUGCCGCGUGUGUGAAGAAGGCCUUCGGGUUGUAAAGCACUUUCAGUGGGGAAGAAAGCCUUGGGGCUAAUACCCUCGAGGAAGGACAUCACCCACAGAAGAAGCACCGGCUAACUCCGUGCCAGCAGCCGCGGUAAUACGGAGGGUGCGAGCGUUAAUCGGAAUUACUGGGCGUAAAGCGCGCGUAGGCGGUCUGAUAAGCCGGUUGUGAAAGCCCCGGGCUCAACCUGGGAACGGCAUCCGGAACUGGCAGGCUAGAGUGAAGGAGAGGAAGGUAGAAUUCCCGGUGUAGCGGUGAAAUGCGUAGAGAUCGGGAGGAAUACCAGUGGCGAAGGCGGCCUUCUGGACUGACACUGACGCUGAGGUGCGAAAGCGUGGGUAGCAAACAGGAUUAGAUACCCUAGUAGUC
Molecule: ribosomal RNA, 465 nt
Filed under: Vreelandella stevensii
Lineage: Bacteria; Pseudomonadati; Pseudomonadota; Gammaproteobacteria; Oceanospirillales; Halomonadaceae
Description: partial 16S ribosomal RNA
Rfam family: Bacterial small subunit ribosomal RNA
Source: RNAcentral